RNAcentral lists this long non-coding RNA (3540 nucleotides) under Sus scrofa (pig). Its description in RNAcentral is "lncRNA (ENSSSCG00050002938.1)". The record is from RNAcentral. Lineage: Eukaryota; Metazoa; Chordata; Mammalia; Artiodactyla; Suidae.
CGGCCUGACGCGCGGGAGCGGGAGCCGCUGGCCUCUGCUUUAGAGCGCUUUUGCUUUCCGAAUACAGCCUUCAUAAGGGCAAGAGCUUCCACCCAUUUUGUUCACUGCUGUGGCCCUGAUGCCUGGGACAGCCCUGCUGAGAGAUGAGGAAAGGUCUCACGUGCCCACUGAAGCCCCUGAUGUGGUCACAGAGGACUUGCCGGGGCCGAAGACACAGACUUGUGUGGAGAGCUGCUUUCUCACAGUCGGUCCAGGCGUCCGCCUCUGCUUUUCUCUCCUCCACCUGCACCUGUAGGAGAUGAGUGUUUAGAUGCCACCAGCCUGGCUUUCUACCUUUCACACUUUCUUUCACUCAGGGAUUCCUAGCCCGAGCCUAAGGCAUCAAGGACUCAGGAGGAGUCAUCAGAUCCCAUUCUCAUGAGUGGAACCUUCCCCAAAUCUCUCAGUAGCCUGGGUGUCCCCUGGACCAGAGCUUUCUUUCCCACUUGGAUCCCAUCCCAGUUCAUCACCAGCAUCACUCAUGACGUGGCUCCUCCAACCAGCCAGGGACUGGUAGGGCCUCACCUGCCACCAGGAACGGGGCUGGGUUUCUAGCUGGCAGGCUGAUGCUGGGCCCCACAAUCCCACAACUGCCCGAGGGAGUGGCCACAGUUCCGUUUAGAGCCCGUUUCCUCAGAUCACUCCUGGCACCUGACCUCUGAGAGCUGGUGCGCUGGGAAGCAGAUGUGGAGAAGACGGUUUGUGUGAAAUGAGUGUCCUGAGAAGUGACCCUGGUGUCUUCGCCUGUAAAGGAAGAGCAGACAUAACCCGAGCAGAAGCUGAUUGCGGUGGUGGCUGCAGCAAGGCCUCAGUCCAUCCCACUGGGGUCUGAGUGGGAGGGCCUUGCAGACUCGUCCUGCCACGAGGGAGGCCCUGGCCCUCUCUCCUCCCUUCAUGGACCAGUCAUGGGGUGCUGUGAACUUGGGCAGGCGGCUCCCUUCACCCAGGCCAGUUCCCGGCCAGGGGCUCAGCAGAGAGCCUGGAGCCACCAACGUUCCCAGCAGCUGAGGGAUGCUGAGGGGGACCUGGGCACCACUGCGGCCACCGCUGUCCCCUUUAAAUGCCUCUUGACCUAUCUGCCCCUUCUUGAGCAUUGCCUCUCCCCAGGCUCCAUUCUCAGGCCUUUUCUUCGUUGACUCCCAUUUCUUUGGGGGGAGCAGGGAGCAUGACCCGUGCUCCCCGGCCUUAACCAGCCCUGAGCCUGGGCCCCAGGGUUUCCUGUCUCUCCAGCAUCGCCAGUUUAUGCUUCUCUUUGCCCCGCCCCUUGGGACGGCCCACCUCUUGCAUCCUUUGAUCCACCCCCCCCCCCACUGCUCCUACACGCGGCCCUCACUGCCUCCCUCCCGGGCUUGCUGUCCACUCAGGCCCCCGGCUCCGGGCAUGGGCGUCACAGCCCUUCGGGAGUGGAAGGGGUCACUUUACAUGCAUGUUUCCUCCCUCCUGUCUCUGUUUCCAGUGUUGCUCUCUCCUGCGUCCCCCAAAGCCAGCCCCUCCGCCUCGCCACUGCUGCUGGGGACACUUCCUCAAUCACAGAUUGUUAUUCACAUAGGAACAGUUGCUGGACGCUUGCCACGGCCUGCCCACGUCACAUUCUGGGCCAGUCAUGGUGAGCGACGCAGAAAAAGUCUCUGCUUGGAGUUCCCGUUGUGGCUCAGAGGGUUAUGAACUUGACCAGUACCCACAAAGAUCCUGGCCUCACUCAGUGGGUUAGGGAUCCCAGCUUGCCGUUGCUGUGGUGCAGGCCGGCAGCUGCAGCUCCAAUUCAACCUCCAACCUGGGAACUUCCAUAUGCUGCGGGUGCAGACCUAAAAAGAAAAAGAAAACAAAAGCAAGAAAAGUCUCUGCUUUCAGUGGCGUUUACAUUUUAGUAGGAGACACAGGAAACUAAAGAAAUGACUGAAUGAGCUGAUGGGUAAAUCAGUAUUAGAGAGUGAUAAAUGCUGUGCCAAGAAUUAGAAUAAGGAGUUCCUGUCGUGGCUCAGCAGAAAUGAAUCUGACUAGUAUCCAUGAGGAUGUGGGUUCGAUCCCUGGGCCCGCUCAGCAGGUUAAGGAUCCAGGGUUGCUGUGAGCUGUGGUGUAGGUCGAAGAUGUGGCUCCGAUCUGGCGUUGCUGUGGCUGUGGUGUAGGCUGGCAGCUACAGCUUAGAUUCCACCACUAGCCUGGGAACAUCCAUAUGCCCUGGGUAUGGCCCUAAAAAGACAAAAGUAAAAAACAAACCCCCAAAAUUUAGAAUACUGUGGCCGAGUGUGGCAGGAUCAGCAAAGGUCUCACGUUGUCUUCUGGGCAGGGGGCAGACUCUAGUGUGGCACAAAAGGCUCUGGUGGAGACAAGCUCUGGCCCCCUGGCGAGGACUGACAGCUUCCUCCUGCCCCUUGCACUCGGUCAGUUGGGGGUAACCCUUCCUGGAGGGCCAAGGGGCCACCUGGGUUCCCCUUCUCCCCCGCCUUCCUUCCCUUAUCCUCCCAGUCCCCCCUGUGCUGGAACAAUGUCCCUUAUGGGUGACAGCGACAAAAGCCCAGCUGGCCUCAGCAGGUUUAUUCUUAUCAGUGACUAGACCCAGACAAUUAACAAUCCCUUUCAACGGCCCUCUUGGCCAUGAUUUUUGGGAAAUGCUGACUAGGACAUGACUUGGGGAAGAGAGAUUAUUUUAAAAAAAGAAAGAAAAGAAAACAGGUGCAGUGCUCUUUCCUACUGAGCCUGUCACCGGGGUUAGAUUUGCAGCCUCCACCCUUAACCGUUGUCCCCUGCCUGCCCAGGAGCCGCCCCUCCCCCAAUUCCACCUCCCUGAGGUUUUGGAAGGAAAACUAAACAAUGGCUAAAUGAAACCAAGCCCGUUAUCAACGGGUUCCACGUCACGGCUGAUAAUUCCUCGAAAAUCCCGGUUCUCAUCAAGAAUCUCCGACUUCAUUUCCCUGCACUUGUCGCCGGUGGGCGCAGAUGAAAGUGGGAGAGAAACGCAAGGCCCAGGGCGCCUUGCUUUGGCAGCCAGCCCCUCGGCCUUUGCUUAUGUACCGGGCACCUGAUCAUCAAGCCAAAGACACGGGUGGCUGGUUUCCUAAACGCCCCAGAUGCACCCGGAGCUCCUCCCCUCCGGGGGCCGCCUCUUUGCCCCUUUAUCUGGGCACCGCCUUCCUGCACCCACCCACCACCUCCUUCGCAGACUGGCCGCGCCUUCCCUUGGCUCCCCCUAGCGGCGGGCGCCGUCCAUCACCCGUGGGAACACGGGUCCCGCACCUCCCGCGCCGGCUCCAAGGCAGACGGAAAAGACAUUAAAACCGGAGAAAGCCGAGCAUCGAUCCCUCAGCGGAGAUCCAGCUUUUAUUUUCACCACAACCGACGGUCCCGUCAGACCUUGUGUGAGGUUUUUUUUUUUUCUUUCCUGUCUGAUUACACACAAAAAAAUCACAACCAUGUAAACCAAAAUUUGUAACUUAUAUAAUCAAGACUUUUAGGUGUGAUUCUUUAUUACACGUAAAAAUAAAAUCGAUAAAAAAUAAAAAA